CCGCGGCCUAUCAGCUAGUUGGUGAGGUAACGGCCCACCAAGGCUAAGACGGGUAGCUGGUCUGAGAGGACGACCAGCCUCACUGGAACUGAGACACGGUCCAGACACCUACGGGUGGCAGCAGUCGAGAAUUUUUCUCAAUGGGGGAAACCCUGAAGGAGCGACGCCGCGUGGGGGAUGAAUGGCUUCGGCCCGUAAACCCCUGUCAUUUGCGAACAAACCUUUCGAUCUAAUAAGUCGAAAGCUGAUAGUAGCAGAAGAGGAAGGGACGGCUAACUCUGUGCCAGCAGCCGCGGUAAUACAGAGGUCCCGAGCGUUGUUCGGAUUCACUGGGCGUAAAGGGUGCGUAGGUGGUAGGGUAAGUUUGACGUGAAAGCUCCGAGCUUAACUCGGAAAUUGCGUUGAAUACUAUCCACUAGAGGGUUGUAGGGGGGACUGGAAUUCUCGGUGUAGCAGUGAAAUGCGUAGAUAUCGAGAGGAACACCAGUGGCGAAGGCGAGUCCCUGGACAACUCCUGACACUGAGGCACGAAAGCUAGGGGAGCAAACAGGAUUAGAUACCCUGGUAGUCCUAGCUGUAAACGGUGCACAUUUGCUGUGAGCGGAAUCGACCCUGCUCGUGGCGAAGCUAACGCGAUAAAUGUGCCGCCUGGGAAGUACGGUCGCAAGAUUAAAACUCAAAGAAAUUGACGGGGGCCUGCACAAGCGGUGGAGUAUGUGGCUUAAUU
Molecule: ribosomal RNA, 727 nt
Filed under: uncultured Verrucomicrobiota bacterium
Lineage: Bacteria; Pseudomonadati; Verrucomicrobiota
Description: bacterial SSU rRNA
Rfam family: Bacterial small subunit ribosomal RNA
Source: RNAcentral